This 138-nucleotide small nucleolar RNA is filed under the name Ornithorhynchus anatinus (platypus). Lineage: Eukaryota; Metazoa; Chordata; Mammalia; Monotremata; Ornithorhynchidae. The record is from RNAcentral.
CCCCUCUCAGCGUCGCACAAGGAGAGUUUCUGGUACUCUACCAGUCUCAGCUAUGGGAGGGAGAGUCAAGCAGAGGAAUACCCAUUCCAUUCCUAGCUUGGCCAGUGGCUAGUGAGUGGAAGGCAAUCUGCUACAAGU